RNAcentral lists this long non-coding RNA (642 nucleotides) under Olea europaea subsp. europaea. Lineage: Eukaryota; Viridiplantae; Streptophyta; Magnoliopsida; Lamiales; Oleaceae. The record is from RNAcentral.
GGCAUCUUCAGCUUCAUCCUUCACUUUCUAGGAUUGGAAAUUCCCAUACCAAUCCUUUAUCACUCCAACCAGUUCAUCAACACCCUUCUUGUAGAGAUGACUUGGAUAAUCAUCAUUUUCUCCAGUUUUGACCUUUUUGUACAAUUCAAGGUAGGCUAGUUGCUUGAAUGGAGUGUUCAUGGUGAAGCUUUGUUGCUUGCCUUCCUACCCUUAAGAUUUUCUCACAUAUUUUAAAGUCCAAUGAAGGCCAACCAAUUGUUAGGACUAGUCUUCCUAAGAUGAUUGGUAUAUCUUGAUCCUCUACGAUAUCAAGAACUAUUAAAUGAACUGGGAAGAUGAAAUCUCCAACUUUGAUGAGCACGUCAUCUACUACUCCUCGAGGCUAUUUUAUCGACCUAUCAAACAGUUGAAGAGUGAUUGAUGUUUUAUUUGGCUCUCCUAACUUACUUUCUUGUAAAUGUUCAAGUACAUCAUAUUAAUAUUUAAUUUGGAGUGACUUGAAGUAAUAAUGGUAUGUGAAUAUCAUAUAGAGCAAGGUGGAAUGAAACUUUCUGAUUCCUUUAACUUAGGUGGGAGCUUAUGCUGGAGGAUUGUACUAUACUAUUCAGAUAUACAACUGUCCUGUGUUCAGUAAAAUUUUUC